This 890-nucleotide ribosomal RNA is filed under the name uncultured bacterium. RNAcentral's name for it is "bacterial SSU rRNA". It matches the Rfam family "Bacterial small subunit ribosomal RNA", at positions 505 to 1397 of the family's 1533-position model. The record is from RNAcentral.
GUGCCAGCAGCCGCGGUAAUACGGAAGGUCCGGGCGUUAUCCGGAUUUAUUGGGUUUAAAGGGAGCGCAGGCUGGCUUUUAAGCGUGACGUGAAAUGCGGCGGCUCAACCGUCCGAAGUGCGUCGCGAACUGGAGGUCUUGAGUGAGUUCGACGCCGGCGGAAUUCGUGGUGUAGCGGUGAAAUGCUUAGAUAUCACGAAGAACCCCGAUUGCGAAGGCAGCCGGCGAGGCCUUUACUGACGCUAAAGCUCGAAGGUGCGGGUAUCGAACAGGAUUAGAUACCCUGGUAGUCCGCACGGUAAACGAUGGAUGCCCGCUGUUUGCGAUAUACUGUGAGCGGCCAAGCGAAAGCGUUAAGCAUCCCACCUGGGGAGUACGCCGGCAACGGUGAAACUCAAAGGAAUUGACGGGGGCCCGCACAAGCGGAGGAACAUGUGGUUUAAUUCGAUGAUACGCGAGGAACCUUACCCGGGCUUGAACUGCCGGUGAACGAUUCAGAGAUGAUGAGGUCCUUCGGGACGCCGGUGGAGGUGCUGCAUGGUUGUCGUCAGCUCGUGCCGUGAGGUGUCGGCUUAAGUGCCAUAACGAGCGCAACCCCUCUCUUCAGUUGCCAUCGGGUAAUGCCGGGCACUCUGGAGACACUGCCACCGUAAGGUGUGAGGAAGGUGGGGAUGACGUCAAAUCAGCACGGCCCUUACGUCCGGGGCUACACACGUGUUACAAUGGGUGGUACAGAGAGUCGGUGCUGCGCAAGCCGCAUCCAAUCAAGAAGGCCAUCCUCAGUUCGGACUGGGGUCUGCAACCCGACCCCACGAAGCUGGAUUCGCUAGUAAUCGCGCAUCAGCCAUGGCGCGGUGAAUACGUUCCCGGGCCUUGUACACACCGCCCGU